RNAcentral lists this ribosomal RNA (845 nucleotides) under uncultured marine eukaryote. RNAcentral's name for it is "SSU rRNA". It matches the Rfam family "Eukaryotic small subunit ribosomal RNA", at positions 623 to 1486 of the family's 1831-position model. The record is from RNAcentral.
AAAGCUCGUAGUUGGAUUUCUGUGGGGACGGAGCGGCCGGCCGCAACACGCGGUUCGAGCUAGCGCUUUCCCUACAUCCUGCCGCGAACCGUGCUACCAUUAGUUUGGUGGCGCUGGGGAUCGGCUCGAUUACUUUGAGAAAAAUAGAGUGUUCAAAGCAGGCCACACGCCUUGAAUAAGUUAGCAUGGAAUAAUAACUAAGGACUUCGGUUCUAUUUUGUUGGUGUUCGGGACUGAAGUAAUGAUUGAUAGGGACAGUUGGGGCGGUCAGUAUUCCAAAGCGAGAGGUGAAAUUCUUAGACCUUCGGAAGACUAACAGCUGCGAAAGCGUACCGCAAGGAUGUUCCCUUUGAUCAAGAACGAAAGUUGGGGGAUCGAAGACGAUCAGAUACCGUCGUAGUCUCAACUAUAAACUAUACCAGCUAGGGAUCGGCCAACGUUAUUCUAUACCGACUUGGUCGGCACCUUAUGAGAAAUCAAAGCAUCUGGGUUCCGGGGGGAGUAUGGUCGCAAGGCUGAAACUUAAAGGAAUUGACGGAAGGGCACCACCAGCCGUGGAGCCUGUGGCUUAAUUUGACUCAACACGGGAAAACUUACCAGGUCCAGACAUAGUAAGGAUUGACAGAUUGAUAGCUCUUUCUUGAUUCUGUGGGUGGUGGUGCAUGGCCGUUCUUAGUUGGUGGAGUGAUUUGUCUGGUUAAUUCCGUUAACGAACGAGACCCCAGCCUGCUAAAUAGCGCGAGUGAGCUUUGCUCGCUGCGAGCUUCUUAGAGGGACUAUGAUGCGCGAUAGCACAUGGAAGUUUGGGGCAAUAACAGGUCUGUGAUGCCCUUAGAUGUUCUGGG